Molecule: ribosomal RNA, 395 nt
Filed under: uncultured bacterium
Lineage: Bacteria
Description: partial 16S ribosomal RNA
Rfam family: Bacterial small subunit ribosomal RNA
Source: RNAcentral
CCUACGGGUGGCAGCAGUGAGGAAUAUUGGUCAAUGGUCGUAAGCCUGAACCAGCCAAGCCGCGUGAGGGAUGAAGGUACAAUGGAUCGUAAACCUCUUUUAUCAGGGAAUAAAGAGUGGGACGUGUCCUGGGUUGUAUGUACCUGAUGAAUAAGCAUUGGCUAACUCCGUGCCAGCAGCCGCGGUAAUACGGAGGAUCCGAGCGUUAUCCGGAUUUAUUGGGUUUAAAGGGUGCGUAGGCGGCCUUUUAAGUCAGCGGUGAAAGUCUGUGGCUCAACCAUAGAAUGGCCGUUGAAACUGGGAGUCUUGAGUAUGUUUGAGGCAGGCGGAAUGCGCGGUGUAGCGGUGAAAUGCUUAGAUAUCACGCAGAACCCCGAUUGCGAAGGCAGCCUGCC